This is a long non-coding RNA of Gossypium arboreum, 679 nucleotides long. RefSeq lists it as uncharacterized. The record is from RefSeq and is a predicted model, not a curated record. The transcript has 2 exons. Lineage: Eukaryota; Viridiplantae; Streptophyta; Magnoliopsida; Malvales; Malvaceae.
GCUAAAGCGAAAGCAAUAAAAUGUUGAGGGAUCAAUCUGGGAAUUAACCUAGGCUUUCAAAACACCACGCAAAAGGGGAACCCAAACACCAAAAUCAAAAUACAGCUGGGUAGAUUUUUAAACAUAAAAGAAAUCAAGGCGAAAUUUAAACAAAUAAGAAGGGUUAACGGCAAAAUUAUCCCAUUGAAAUUGGGACACACGGGGCUAAAGCAAAAUGGGUCGAUUCAUGUGGGUCUUUCCUUCUUUGCUGAAAAAUCAUUUGGACCAUUUCCCUUUUUGAAACAAUAAAGCACGACCCCAGUUCCCCUUUCAAAUCUUUUUCUUCAGCCAAAACAGCUAAGCCAAGACCAUAAUCCAAAAAAAAAGGGUCUGAUUUCAAAUGGGUGCCAUUCUAAACGAAGGAGACAAAGCUCCGACGACGCUACCCGAAACAGGUAUCUACGUGGGUUUCGGAAGCGUGACGGAUGUGGGCACUGACGUGGCCAUAGUGGUUGGUGGAGGAGCGCACGAUGCGGCGAAAUGGGGCUCGCGGCAUGAAGGCCAACUCCUUUGCUGCUAAGGUUUCAAGUUUGUUUGUUGUUAGGGGUUUUUGGGCUAGUUUGGGCUUGUUUUUAUUGGGCUCCGGGCUGAAUUAGCCCACAACAACUCUAAAAUGAAUGAAAAAGUUAACAUCUAUUAA